This is a long non-coding RNA of Anguilla anguilla (European eel), 788 nucleotides long. RefSeq lists it as uncharacterized. NCBI's taxonomy places the organism in Eukaryota, Metazoa, Chordata, Actinopteri, Anguilliformes, Anguillidae. The record is from RefSeq and is a predicted model, not a curated record. The transcript has 2 exons.
ACGGAUAAGGUUCCUUGAACCUCGAUGGUGCCUGAUCUUGUUUUGCUGGGAAAUUCUCUACAGGGAGGUUAAAAACAGCGCAGGCAGGGGAAAUUGAGUCUGGCCUCGGGACAGAUAAUGAGGCGUGCACGUGUAAGGGGGGAGGACGGAGUCGUGAUGAACAAAGGGCCAUGCUCCGGGACAUCAGGACGUGACACCACCGCGAGCGAGCCGCUGGGCAGGAAGCAGGGGCAGCGCUCAACUUCCUGUGGAGACAGGAAAGGAGACAGGACCCGGCGUACUGCUGGAGUCUGCGUGUGUCAUCCACCACACACUGCUGACAGCCUGAAAAUUACAGUGAACAGUCUAGAAAUACUAGGCACAGCUGCGGUAAUAACUUAUUACUUAUUACUUGAAGCUUUUUCGUAUUAAUCAUAUUUCUUUGUCUUUUGUUAAUAUUACUACUACUACUCCCACUACAACUGCUACUACUAAUAAUAAUUAUCAUCAUCAUCAUAAUCCUCAUUAGCUUAAUAAUCAAUUUUAUCACCAUAAUCAUCAUCAUUACCAUCAUGAUGAAGUUGCUAUUGACAGUAAAUGAUUCAUAAUUAGUAUUACUGCAAUAAGAAUAAUAGUGUUUGUUCUGAGUACUGAUACUGAGUACCAGGUCAUAUUCACAAACUUUGCUGGAAUUAUGGAUCCAAUUAUAAUACAUUAUACAUGUAUUCAAUUAUAUAUUACGACUAAAUCCCUUUGAAAGCACUGACUGAGCUGACUUGCAAUAAAGCAUCUGUGGGUAUUGAUGCCAA